GGAGUUUGAUGGAUCAAAGCACCUCAUUCUGAAAGAGGAUGAUAUUGUUGGUAUUCUUGAGACAGAUGAUGUCAAGGAUCUGCAGCCAUUAAAUGACAGAGUCCUAAUCAAGGUUGCAGAAGCUGAAGAAAAAACCGCUGGAGGUUUACUGUUGACUGAGGCAGCCAAGGAGAAGCCUUCAAUUGGCACGAUUAUAGCUGUUGGGCCUGGUCCUCUUGAUGAAGAAGGGAACAGGAAACCACUUUCAGUAUCCCCAGGAAAUACAGUUCUCUAUUCCAAAUAUGCCGGCAGUGAAUUCAAAGGUGCUGAUGGAUCUGAUUAUAUUACACUCAGGGUGUCUGAUGUAAUGGCUGUGCUAUCUUAGUGGGACUAUUGAGUUAUUCCGUGCCAAAAAUUUCAGCAGAGAUCUAGGAAGGAGGAAGAGCUGCAUCCAACUUUCGAGUGAGGAGUAAUACUCUCUGCAAAUUAAUGAUCAAUAUCUCAGGUGUAGAAUCAAUUUUCUGAACUCAUUUCUGUUCUUGAUUUGAGGAAUUAGCCUUUGGGAAUUUUGUAUGUCAAAAGAUUGAAAACUGCAGACUAUGAGAGAUUAGCAAUAAUAUUUGCAUAAUUCACAUAUUGGAUUGUGUUCAAGCUGAUGUUUGUCAUUUUUGGGAUCAAGUUGUAUAUCCCUAGUCGCUAGUGGAUCAAAG
This 689-nucleotide unclassified non-coding RNA is filed under the name Hevea brasiliensis (rubber tree). Lineage: Eukaryota; Viridiplantae; Streptophyta; Magnoliopsida; Malpighiales; Euphorbiaceae. The record is from RNAcentral.